This 73-nucleotide transfer RNA is filed under the name Candidatus Poribacteria bacterium. RNAcentral's name for it is "tRNA-Gln". It matches the Rfam family "tRNA". From Rfam's summary of the family: Transfer RNA (tRNA) molecules are approximately 80 nucleotides in length. Their secondary structure includes four short double-helical elements and three loops (D, anti-codon, and T loops). Lineage: Bacteria; Candidatus Poribacteria. The record is from RNAcentral.
GGGGGUGUAGCUCAAUUGGCAGAGCAUCUGAUUCUGAGUCAGGCGGUUAGGGGUUCGAGUCCCCUCACUUCCA